Molecule: long non-coding RNA, 1325 nt
Organism: Mytilus californianus (California mussel)
Lineage: Eukaryota; Metazoa; Mollusca; Bivalvia; Mytilida; Mytilidae
Exons: 2
Source: RefSeq, a predicted model, not a curated record
UUGGUAUGACGUUGGCGUCGUCGUCGUCGUCCGGCGGCGGCGUCGUCGUCCGAAGACACAUUGGUUUUCGCACUCUAACUUUAGUUUAAGUGAAUGGAUCUCUAUGAAAUUUUACCGUAAGGUUCAAUACCACAAUAGGAAGGUGGGGAUUGAUUUUGGGGGUUAUGGUACCAACAGUUAAGGAAUUAGGGGCCAAAAAGGGGCCGAAAAUAAGCAUUUUUGUAACUUCCAGACAUAACUUGUGUGUUAGCAUAUGGAUCUCUUUGACAUUGUACCACAAGAUUCCAUAUCACAAAGGGUCAAUGCUGGGAUUGAUUUUGGGGUUAAUUGCCUCAAAAUUUUAGGAAUAAGGGGCCAAAAGGGGGCAAAAAACAAGCAUUUUUCUAGUUUCAUGACAAUAACUUGUGUGUAAGUGUAUGGAUCUUUCUGAAAUUUUACUACAAGGUUCCAUUUCACAAAGGGAAAGCUGGAAUUGAGUGUUGUGGUAAUUGCCCAAAACGUUUAGUAAUAAGGGGCCUGAAAAGGGGUUUAAAAUAAGCAUUUUUUAGUUUCUAGACAAUAACUUGUGUUCAAGUGUAUGGAUCUCUCUAAAAUUGUAUUACAAGGUACCAUACCACAAAGACAAGGCUGUUAUUGAGCUUGGUUUGGGGGAAAGGGGGGUGGGGGUGAUGAAUCAUAAGGGGGGCGGGGGUCAAAAAAGGGGUAAUUUUUUUGUUUCCUUUUUUUUUUGUUUAAAAUUUACAUUUUAAGUUAGUUAUUUUUUAUCACGAAGAGAAAGUAGGAAUUGAGUUUUGGGGUUAAUUGCUCAAACAUUUAUGAAUAAGGGGCCAAAUAUUGGUCGAAAAUAAGGAUUUUUUUAGUGUGCUCUAAUGUUUAAGGAAUAAGGGGAAAAAAGGUUAAAAAACAAGGGUUUCCAUUUUAAUAGACAAAUAAUUGAGUAAAGAACAUUAUUUAAAAGCAGUGUAAGGUUGGUAAUUCAAACUCAUUUAAAUAUCUCAUCUACACUGCUUUUAAGUUAUGUAAAUUGGAAAUUUGCCAAUAACUUUAUUGUUAAUAAAUGCAUUGGAAAUUUGCCAACAAUUUUAGUGUAAUAAACUUCAUUGGAAAUUUGCCAAUAUAAAAUUUUGCUGAUGAAGGUUUUUUGUUUACCUUUAGCCUUGACUAUGAAGUCAUUUUCUAUUUUUAUAGCCUUAUGAUGUAGUUGAAUUAUUUAAUACUUUUAUGAUGUGUUUAAAUGGGGUUUUAUCAUGUUUAUGGUUGCAAAUUUAUUGUUUUAGUAUAAUAAACUCCAUUUAAAAUUUGCCAAUAAAAAAAUUUUUUGUUUA